RNAcentral lists this ribosomal RNA (253 nucleotides) under uncultured bacterium. RNAcentral describes it as "partial 16S ribosomal RNA". It matches the Rfam family "Bacterial small subunit ribosomal RNA", at positions 524 to 776 of the family's 1533-position model. The record is from RNAcentral.
UACGUAGGGUGCAAGCGCUAAUCGGAAUUACUGGGCGUAAAGUGUGCGCAGGCGGCCGCGCAAGUCGAGUGUGAAAUCCCCGAGCUUAACUUGGGAAUUGCGCUCGAAACUACGUGGCUGGAGUGUGGCAGAGGAAGGUGGAAUUCCACGUGUAGCGGUGAAAUGCGUAGAUAUGUGGAGGAACACCGAUGGCGAAGGCAGCCUUCUGGGCCAACACUGACGCUGAGGCACGAAAGCGUGGGGAUCAAACAGG